AACGAACGCUGGCGGCAUGCCUAACACAUGCAAGUCGAACGAGACCUUCGGGUCUAGUGGCGCACGGGUGCGUAACACGUGGGAAUCUGCCCUUGGGUUCGGAAUAACAGUUAGAAAUGACUGCUAAUACCGGAUGAUGUCGAAAGACCAAAGAUUUAUCGCCCAAGGAUGAGCCCGCGUAGGAUUAGGUAGUUGGUGGGGUAAAGGCCUACCAAGCCGACGAUCCUUAGCUGGUCUGAGAGGAUGAUCAGCCACACUGGGACUGAGACACGGCCCAGACUCCUACGGGAGGCAGCAGUGGGGAAUAUUGGACAAUGGGCGAAAGCCUGAUCCAGCAAUGCCGCGUGAGUGAUGAAGGCCUUAGGGUUGUAAAGCUCUCUUACCAGGGAUGAUAAUGACAGUACCUGGAGAAUAAGCUCCGGCUAACUCCGUGCCAGCCGCCGCCGUAACAC
This 452-nucleotide ribosomal RNA is filed under the name uncultured bacterium. RNAcentral describes it as "bacterial SSU rRNA". It matches the Rfam family "Bacterial small subunit ribosomal RNA", at positions 29 to 526 of the family's 1533-position model. The record is from RNAcentral.